AUGGAGGAGGAGGAGGUGGUGGAGGAGUACCGGCGGGCGGGGAGGCUCCACACCUACGACGAGGACAAGGAAUGGCAGAAGCGCUUUGCCAGGGUCGCCAAACAACAUCCGCACGCUUGGCCCAAGCAUAUGGUCGCGGAGAUUGAGGAAUACAUCACCUACCUCGACGAGGACGAGGACGACUUUAGGAUAGGACUUUACUCGUUAAUCGGGGAUGAAAUCACAGACUAA
RNAcentral lists this ribosomal RNA (231 nucleotides) under Triticum aestivum (bread wheat). RNAcentral describes it as "partial small subunit ribosomal RNA". The record is from RNAcentral. Lineage: Eukaryota; Viridiplantae; Streptophyta; Magnoliopsida; Poales; Poaceae.